RNAcentral lists this ribosomal RNA (255 nucleotides) under uncultured bacterium. Its description in RNAcentral is "partial 16S ribosomal RNA". It matches the Rfam family "Bacterial small subunit ribosomal RNA", at positions 210 to 467 of the family's 1533-position model. The record is from RNAcentral.
GCCUUGCGCUAUCAGAUGAGCCUAGGUCGGAUUAGCUAGUUGGUGAGGUAAUGGCUCACCAAGGCUACGAUCCGUAACUGGUCUGAGAGGAUGAUCAGUCACACUGGAACUGAGACACGGUCCAGACUCCUACGGGAGGCAGCAGUGGGGAAUAUUGGACAAUGGGCGAAAGCCUGAUCCAGCCAAGGCGCGUGUGUGAAGAAGGUCUUCGGAUGUAAAGCACAUGAGUGGGAGGAAGGGCAUUAACCUAAUACG